Molecule: ribosomal RNA, 427 nt
Filed under: uncultured ammonia-oxidizing beta proteobacterium
Lineage: Bacteria; Pseudomonadati; Pseudomonadota; Betaproteobacteria
Description: bacterial SSU rRNA
Rfam family: Bacterial small subunit ribosomal RNA
Source: RNAcentral
AAGUAGGGGAUCGUAAGACCUUGCGCUUUUGGAGCGGCCGAUGUCUGAUUAGCUAGUUGGUGGGGUAAUGGCCUACCAAGGCUUCGAUCAGUAGCUGGUCUGAGAGGACGGCCAGCCACACUGGGACUGAGACACGGCCCAGACUCCUACGGGAGGCAGCAGUGGGGAAUUUUGGACAAUGGGCGCAAGCCUGAUCCAGCCAUGCCGCGUGAGUGAAGAAGGCCUUCGGGUUGUAAAGCUCUUUCAGCCGGGAAGAAAAGGUUGCGAUUAAUAAUCGCAAUUCAUGACGGUACCGAAAGAAGAAGCACCGGCUAACUACGUGCCAGCAGCCGCGGUAAUACGUAGGGUGCGAGCGUUAAUCGGAAUUACUGGGCGUAAAGGGUGCGCAGGCGGUUUUGUAAGUCAGAUGUGAAAUCCCCGGGCUUAA